This 660-nucleotide ribosomal RNA is filed under the name Xanthomonas sp. enrichment culture clone z262. RNAcentral describes it as "bacterial SSU rRNA". It matches the Rfam family "Bacterial small subunit ribosomal RNA", at positions 1 to 662 of the family's 1533-position model. Lineage: Bacteria; Pseudomonadati; Pseudomonadota; Gammaproteobacteria; Lysobacterales; Lysobacteraceae. The record is from RNAcentral.
UUGAGUUUGAUCCUGGCUCAGAGUGAACGCUGGCGGCAGGCCUAACACAUGCAAGUCGAGCGGCAGCGCGGGGGCAACCCUGGCGGCGAGCGGCGGACGGGUGAGGAAUACAUCGGAAUCUACCCAGCCGUGGGGGAUAACGUAGGGAAACUUACGCUAAUACCGCAUACGACCUGAGGGUGAAAGCAGGGGACCGCAAGGCCUUGCGCGAUUGGAUGAGCCGAUGUCCGAUUAGCUAGUUGGCGGGGUAAAAGCCCACCAAGGCGACGAUCGGUAGCUGGUCUGAGAGGAUGAUCAGCCACACUGGAACUGAGACACGGUCCAGACUCCUACGGGAGGCAGCAGUGGGGAAUAUUGGACAAUGGGCGCAAGCCUGAUCCAGCCAUGCCGCGUGUGUGAAGAAGGCCUUCGGGUUGUAAAGCACUUUUGUCCGGAAAGAAAUCCUGUCGGUUAAUACCUGGCGGGGAUGACGGUACCGGAAGAAUAAGCACCGGCUAACUUCGUGCCAGCAGCCGCGGUAAUACGAAGGGUGCAAGCGUUACUCGGAAUUACUGGGCGUAAAGCGUGCGUAGGCGGUUCGUUAAGUCUGAUGUGAAAGCCCCGGGCUCAACCUGGGAAUUGCAUUUGAUACUGGCGGGCUAGAGUACGGUAGAGGGUGGU